UGGUCGCCAAAAAUAUUGAUUAUUCGCGACAAAUUAAAAUUUGGUCGCCAAAUGUUAUUUUUUUGCGACCAAAAUUUUUUUUGUCGGCAAAAGUGGUCGGCAAAUGUGUAAAUUCUUGUAGUGUCUGAUUCAUGUUUUUGGCCGCUAUUCAUGUCUUAAUAUGAACUUUAUGGUAAAUUGACUAGAUUAUUAUUGUCAUUUUUACUCCUUUGAACUAUCAUUUAAUAUCAUUAUAUUUCCUCUAACUAAAAUAUAUUACAUUUUGUCACAUUGCACUGUCAAUUUGUACAAAUUUAAAAAUUAUAUUAAUAAUCCGUUACAUAAUUGGAUCAAACAUUGACAUGUAACUUACACACGGUAUCUAAAAUGUUAUGAAAUAAUUUAUUAUUAGUAAUUGUGUCCUCGACCAAUGUUUAUACUGGAAUAACAAAGGUAAUCAUUCUAGUAUUUGGAAGGAGAGGCAUAAUUUAUAUUUUCAUUGUUCUGAAAUCUGAAUUUGGGUUUAAAGAUCUGCGAAAAGUAUUGGGGCUCAACGUGCUGAUUUGUUUCCCUUUGAAAAAAUGUUCUUAUAAACAAUAAUUUAUUUGUAUUUCUUUAAAAGUAUAUUCAAUCUCUCUUUUUCUGUUUUAUAAGUUAGACUUGGUCUAGCUUAAUUGUGGUCUUUUUCCCUUUCCAUUUCAGUAAAUGUGUAUGUUCCCAAAGAUAGAGUCACUAAUCUUCAUCAAGGAUAUGGCUUUGUGGAAUUCCGAAGCGAGGACGAUGCAGAUUAUGUAAGCUAUGCUUCAUUGCUCGUGUCAUUGGUUAUGCUUUUUGUACUUUCUUUAUUGUUCAUCAGUUAUGCUCUUUGUAUUUAUUUUACUGUUCUCUUGAGUUUUGCUUUCCUUACUUGCUGGUGGCUGUAUGAUCAGUUCUUUUUUAUAAUUUUAUUUAUCUAUUAUUUUUUAAAUCCACAAUGCAGGCAAUAAAAGUUCUGAAUAUGAUUAAACCUUAUGGGAAGCCAAUAAGAGUGAAUAAGAUGUGAAUGUUUAUCCUCGUCAUGCAUCAUUUUCUGUUUCUUUAUGCUUAUGCUUAGGAUAUUGCCACAGGAGCCAUCAUUAAUGAUUUCAUGGUUUGACUUUCAAAGCCUUUGUUUGAAUUAGAUUUAAAAUCUGAUCAAUAGUUUUAUCUUGUUGUUUUUGGGUUCCAGGCAUCUCAAGAUAAAAAGAGCUUGGGUGUUGGAGCUAACCUUUUUGUGGGAAACCUCAAUCCUGGAAGAAAUUUGAUACACUCGAAUGUAUUUUCAUGCCUUAUAAACUGUUACAUGCCUAUGACACAGUUUUUCAAUUUCGAACCUGGCUUUGAUUUUCUUUGCAGGAUGUGGAUGAGAAACUUUUGUAUGAUACUUUCAGUGCAUUUGGAGUCAUUGCUACAAAUCCCAAGGUCAAACUUCUUUUCUCUUGCUCACGUAUAGUUGUGUUGUUUGUUUCUUAUUGAUAUAUAUAAUAGAACUGAGGACAUGCACUGCUCUUCCAUCCUUAAAAUCUUAUCACUAUGUUUUCAUUCGUGCAUAUUAUUAUUUUUAGUCCUUUGGUUAUGAAACUUAGUUUACAUUAUAGAGAUUGUUCUUUGUUUUGCCCGUGUGUGCUUUCUUAUCAUACGUUCUUUGACUAGGGCAUGAACAAAUUGACAAUGUUUUAAUUUUUUUGGUAUGGACUAACACAGUAGUUUGAGAUAAUAUGUGGAUUAAGAGGAUUAGUCUUUACCAUUUUCUGUUGGAUUGGGGGAAUGGGUAACGUAGGUAUAUUAGACAGUUGAGAACUUGAACGUUAAGAGAAACAAGAAGAAGACAAUAGGAGGAAAAUUCUUGUCAGUUGCAUCCAAAUUCGUAGGCGCGCGCACACACACACACAUACACUAAAGAGAGUACGUGCAGAUUUUCAGUCACGAAUUGAGAUUUUGGAAUCUCAAUUGCAAGCUGCGGGCGUGCCCGUUGCACCAGUUGUUGCACCCUUGAACCCAAUACAUAGGCAGCAGGUAUUUUCAUUAUUUUUACUAGUUAUUACUUUAAAUUGUCCAGAGCUACUACACAACUUAAGCCUCUUAUUCAAUGAUAGGUUGUUGAUUCACUUAGUAGUCGUCCCACUGUUCGGCCAAUGUCACAUCAACAACAAUCUCAUGCAUUUUCAUCCCAAGAGGUUCACCUUUCAAAGAAAGGGAAGAAGAAGAAGAAGAACUAACAAGGUAAAAGUACUAAACAUCACUAGUUUUUAAUUUUUCACUUUUCUAAUUCUAUUAAGACAUGAUGUGAUUUGGUGUUGGAAAUUAGUGAGUAAGCCAAAUCAACCACAUAGUUUUAUAUAUUAAGCUUUUAAAUAUGGCAUGGAAUUAAUUCUAUUUCAUUUCUUGUACUUGUGAUUUGGCUGCAACUGAAACGGAGCCUGAUUUUGUCAUGGACCUAGUCAGGUCUUUCUUAUCAGCCAUUGUGUAGUUGGUUAGAACAUUAUGAGUCUAGUAUGUAGACUUGACGAGUCUUCAUAUGAAUUCUGUAAGUGGGUUAAUGUAUAAUGUCCCAUUACAUCAUGGUUAUGUCCGUCUGACCCUUCCAUAUUUAAUGGAGACCCUUACCUCAUGGUUAAGUUACAAUUCUUUUUUUGUUGGCAAUCAAAAAAAAAAAAUAAGAGAAGAGCAUAGGCCUUGUUGAUUCAUGUUCAAUUUGAAAGUUAAGGAUCUUGUUUAAUGUGUGUUUUCCAGAUAACAUUAUAACCUGUAGCUUUUCUAGUUCCAUUUGAAAGUUGAAGUCUCAUAUACACUGAAGAAGGGAGAAGUGUUUUGAAAUGAUUUUAAGCACUGCAGAAUUAUUGGCAUCUUUUCAUUUAGCUGAUUUUUAGUUGUCAUGGAAGUAGUGUUUUCAUUUAUGCUACUUUCCUAUUCUAUGAAUCCAAUUGUUAGAAAGAUAUGUUGGCCACUUAGUUAGGCAGAUUUUUAUAGUAGAUGGAGCUUUGUGAUUUAAAGUUGCCAGAUGUAGAGAGGGAGUGUAUUACUUCACAUCAAACUUCUUUCAAAGUGCAUGGGAAGGAUGUCAUUAGUGGUGUUGGGGAGUUGAUUCCAACUAAUAGUUAAGCAUGAAUAUUGAGGAUGAAAGAGUUAUCCAUAUUUGAAUGUCUCCUAGUGUCAUUAGAUAUUUAUGGGUUUCACUUGUAUUGGCAAUGCUCUUUUUCUCUGAAAAUGUGCAUAGGAUAGAUUAGGGACUUUUGAAUUCUAAAGGAGAAGUAACUCCAAAAUAUUUUGGCUCAUCUUUGGUGUUUGUGAAUUGGGUUUUGCUAUAUCUUUUCUAGUUCAAACUUUGAAAUUCUGAUUGCUGGUUUGGGUGUGUAAUUGAAUAUAUUGAUUGGAUGAAACCAUUUAUUUGCAUCACUUUUAUUAAUUUGCUUUGCAAGUUCUGAUUCAUAUUUCCCAGUAAUUGAAUCACUUUGGUUGGAUGAAACCAUUUAUUAAUUACAUUUUUUGGUCCAAGUAGAAUGCAGGUUGUUUUUGACUUUAUUCUACUGCUGGGACAUUUGCAGCUAUUUUGGGAACAGUCGGAGCUGAUUUUUUUGCUGAAUUAAUGGGUUCUUUCUAGGAAUUUUUGUAUUUUUCUACUGCCCUAUUAUGGAACUUAUAUUCUACAGGAGAGAGAGAGUCAAUUUGUGUUUAAAGACAAUUCUAAUUGCCUUCUAUAUUAGAUUGUUGUUGGAUGAUUGAGACCCCAGUUGCUUUUCUUUUGGAGUGGUAAAAUGGCAUGCUUUUUGGCCUUUCUGGCUGCUGUUUGUUUAAUGAGAAAUCAAUAAACAUGUUGGGAAAACAACUAUUUGUUCCUGCACUUCUUCCUAAUUUACUUUUAUUAUUUUUUCAGCACUCAAUUGAGAAUUUGUAUCUCUGGAGAUCAUAUGAUAUGCUUGUUUUAAUUCCUCUGGUUUUGGGCAUUUCUUGUGGAUAUGUGUGUUGGGUGAAUGGCAAUGUUAAGUUGGGAGUCUUGCACCGCUCACUUUUAUGUACAUUAAUGUAAUAGGAAGGCUUUUAAACAUAGCAACUUCAUAUUAGUGUUAGUUUUCAGUUUUGUUACAGGAAUUUUUUAGUUCAAUUAUAUAAAAUUAGCACAAUUAAAAAAAAAAAAAAAA
Long non-coding RNA from Camellia sinensis, 4136 nucleotides. RefSeq lists it as uncharacterized. The record is from RefSeq and is a predicted model, not a curated record. NCBI's taxonomy places the organism in Eukaryota, Viridiplantae, Streptophyta, Magnoliopsida, Ericales, Theaceae.